CCUACGGGUGGCAGCAGUGGGGAAUAUUGCACAAUGGGGGGAACCCUGAUGCAGCGACGCCGCGUGAGCGAAGAAGUACCUCGGUAUGUAAAGCUCUAUCAGCAGGGAAGAAAAUGACGGUACCUGACUAAGAAGCCCCGGCUAAAUACGUGCCAGCAGCCGCGGUAAUACGUAGGGGGCAAGCGUUAUCCGGAUUUACUGGGUGUAAAGGGAGCGCAGACGGCCGUGCAAGUCUGGUGUGAAAGGCGGGGGCCCAACCCCGGGACUGCAGUGGAAACUGUAGGGCUGGAGUGUAGGAGGGGUAGGUGGAAUUCCUAGUGUAGCGGUGAAAUGCGUAGAUAUUAGGAGGAACACCAGUGGCGAAGGCGGCUUGCUGGACGAUGACUGACGUUGAGGCUCGAAAGCGUGGGGAGCAAACAGGAUUAGAUACCCUUGUAGUC
Molecule: ribosomal RNA, 440 nt
Filed under: uncultured bacterium
Lineage: Bacteria
Description: partial 16S ribosomal RNA
Rfam family: Bacterial small subunit ribosomal RNA
Source: RNAcentral